GAUCCUGGCUAAGGAUGAACGCUAGUGACAGGCUUAACACAUGCAAGUCGAGGGGCAGCAUGAGGUAGCAAUACCUUGAUGGCGACCGGCGCACGGGUGAGUAACGCGUAUGCAACCUGCCCGAUACCGGGGUAUAGCCCAUGGAAACGUGGAUUAACACCCCAUAGUACUUUUAUCCUGCCUGGGAUGGGAGUUAAAUGUUCAAGGUAUCGGAUGGGCAUGCGUCCUAUUAGUUAGUUGGCGGGGU
RNAcentral lists this ribosomal RNA (247 nucleotides) under uncultured bacterium. RNAcentral describes it as "partial 16S ribosomal RNA". It matches the Rfam family "Bacterial small subunit ribosomal RNA", at positions 15 to 258 of the family's 1533-position model. The record is from RNAcentral.